Molecule: ribosomal RNA, 245 nt
Filed under: uncultured bacterium
Lineage: Bacteria
Description: partial 16S ribosomal RNA
Rfam family: Bacterial small subunit ribosomal RNA
Source: RNAcentral
UAGGGGGCAAGCGUUAUCCGGAUUUACUGGGUGUAAAGGGAGCGUAGACGGCACUGCAAGUCAGAAGUGAAAGCCCGGGGCUCAACCCCGGGACUGCUUUUGAAACUGCGGGGCUGGAGUGCAGGAGAGGUAAGCGGAAUUCCUAGUGUAGCGGUGAAAUGCGUAGAUAUUAGGAGGAACACCAGUGGCGAAGGCGGCUUACUGGACUGUAACUGACGUUGAGGCUCGAAAGCGUGGGGAGCAAA